This 853-nucleotide long non-coding RNA is filed under the name Pan troglodytes (chimpanzee). RNAcentral's name for it is "lincRNA". Lineage: Eukaryota; Metazoa; Chordata; Mammalia; Primates; Hominidae. The record is from RNAcentral.
GCCACAGGGUCUUCUAAGCCCUGGUGAAUGCUGUAAAGCAAAUACAUCUCAUUUAUCUCUUUGCAUAUUCCACAAAUUUUACCAUAUAACCUAUAUGUAGGAACUCUCAAUCCAUACUUUAGUCUGUGUAUAGAGACAGAAUAUUGACCGAGAAUAGAAAAAUAAGGCUUGUUAGAUUACCUUUGUCAAGCUUAUGCUACAGCCUAAUGGGGUUCAGGACACACUAUCCCAAAAUGUAGCUAGACAAUGAGUUCUCUGAGAGCAGGAUCCACCUAUUUGGAUGUAAUAGUUUUUUUUCUAUAAAUGUUGAAUGAGUGGAUCGAUUUAUCAAAAUAGAGUUUAUGAACAUAAAAAAUUGCCUUAUGCAACCAAGUUUGAUAAUAACAACAUGACCUUGAUAUUAAACUGAAAAAAGGCAUCUUCCAGUCUCUACUAUUACCACCUCUCCCCAACUAUUAUAGCCAUUCAAAUCUCUAACCAGGCUGAAUAUUAAAUAAAAUGGUUCACCAUCUGAUGUUAAGGUAUAAAGAUAAGAUUUUUUUUUCUGAAUUAAAAAAAAUAGUCCAAAGAAGAAGGAAGAAGAAAGGGGAUAUAAUGAGAAUGAGGAGCGUCAGAUAAUUAGGCAGCAGUCCAACAAUUAGGUUUUGUGGAACUUUUACUAUGUCAUCUAUUUAUUGGAAUUCCCUCUGGAUACCAGGACCCCCUCCAGCAGAGCUUAAAGUUAUAGUUACAGGAAGUACAAAUUCCGUAUGUGGAUCCCUGGAAGUGUGAUGAGAAGAACCACUGUUUCCAAGAUCUAUUUAUUCUAUUUAUCAGGCCUAUAAAAUCAUGUAAUGGCCAUGGCUUCAACUAG